UUACUGAGUACAAAAUUGAAGUCUCUCCGGCUAUGUUUUGACAACCACUUCUGAACUAUCUUGAUCAACCAAUGUCAUGCAUACCUGUAUCCUAAUUGUCAAGCUGGUUCUUCAAUAUUUUUUCGCUGAAAACAAAAGAAACAAAAAUUAUCAGUUUUGUAGCUUACUCAUCACACAGCAGAUACAUAGAAAUUAUGCCUGAAUUUGAUCUAAUGCACUUCCAAUUAUUUUUCCUCAUCUU
RNAcentral lists this long non-coding RNA (241 nucleotides) under Olea europaea (common olive). RNAcentral describes it as "long non-coding RNA (OEUR_LNC000608)". Lineage: Eukaryota; Viridiplantae; Streptophyta; Magnoliopsida; Lamiales; Oleaceae. The record is from RNAcentral.